ACUUACAUCUACUCAACAGAGCGGGGAGGAGAAGGAGAUAAACCUAUAUCAACACUGUAUUUCUAUUCCUCUCUCUCCUUGUGAAAACAAAAGAGGAACAAGGCAAAGCCUCAUCCAAUAUUCAUUGGGAAUCAUCUCGACAUGAUCCCGGGAAAACAGGUCCUUUUCAAGUCCAUGGUUCAGAUGCAGCCUUUCCUGUGACUGGGAGUGGGGACAACAGGCUGCUCACAGGGCUCCGUGGCUGGCACAGGAACUUCGGGUAUUUAUGGAAGUUCUUUGUAAGAAUGCCAGCGGAU
RNAcentral lists this long non-coding RNA (296 nucleotides) under Papio anubis (olive baboon). RNAcentral describes it as "lncRNA (ENSPANG00000038792.1)". The record is from RNAcentral. Lineage: Eukaryota; Metazoa; Chordata; Mammalia; Primates; Cercopithecidae.